This is a long non-coding RNA of Glycine soja, 652 nucleotides long. RefSeq lists it as uncharacterized. The transcript is spliced from 3 exons. The record is from RefSeq and is a predicted model, not a curated record. Lineage: Eukaryota; Viridiplantae; Streptophyta; Magnoliopsida; Fabales; Fabaceae.
UUUAUAUUAUUACAAUGAUUAAUAUUUUUUAUAUACUUUGGUUUAUCAGAAGGAGUAGUGGAUACGGUUUAGGAUCAUUGUUAUAAUAGGCAAAAUUGAUGGUGAUCGUACAUAGUGGCUAGGAAAGGAUAUAAUGGCUACUGUUGCAGUUAUUGGACUCAGUGGAGGAAAGAGACUCUUGAGUUCAUCAUACCAUUACUUUGAUAUUAUAGAAAGGCUUUCUUAUGGCAUUGAUUUUGGAUCCACACACUACCAAAUUGGAUUUAAGUAUUACGACUUUUUCAUCGUAACCAUGAACAUAUUUCAUUUUAUGUUGAGUAUUGGCAAUUGUUCCUUAUGUUAUCAUGUGCUUGGCAGGAUAUCAGAAGAGAGCUUGGAAUGGAAAUAAUUGAGGAACAUACGGUGAUGGAAUAUUCUAAGGUCAGCAAGAAAUGUGAAAAAUGUGGCCAUGGGGAAGCUACCUAUUAUACUAGACAGAUGAGAUCAGCAGACAAAGGGCAAACUACUUUCUACACAUGUACCGGCUAUGGUCAUCCGUCUUAGGAGAAUUAGUGGUUUACCUUAAGGUUAUGCUUAGUUUGGGAGAGAAAAGUGGAAGGAAAAAGAAAGAUAAAGAGUGAAAACUGAGAUGAUUUUUUGGUAAGAGAGAAAA